AGAGUUUGAUCCUGGCUCAGGAUGAACGCUAGCGGCAGGCUUAACACAUGCAAGUCGAGGGGCAGCGGGGAGGAAGCUUGCUUUCUCCGCCGGCGACCGGCGCACGGGUGAGUAACACGUAUGCAACCUGCCCCUGUCAGGGGGACAACCCGCCGAAAGGCGGGCUAAACCCGCGUACAUGCCACCGGGGCAUCCCGGAGGCAGGAAAGGCUUCGGCCGGACAGGGAUGGGCAUGCGGCGCAUUAGGCAGUAGGCGGGGUAACGGCCCACCUAACCGACGAUGCGUAGGGGUUCUGAGAGGAAGGUCCCCCACACUGGUACUGAGACACGGACCAGACUCCUACGGGAGGCAGCAGUGAGGAAUAUUGGUCAAUGGUCGGGAGACUGAACCAGCCAAGCCGCGUGAGGGAGGAAGGUACAGAGUAUCGUAAACCUCUUUUGUCAGGGAACAAAGGCGGGGACGUGUCCCCGGAUGAGUGUACCUGAAGAAAAAGCAUCGGCUAACUCCGUGCCAGCAGCCGCGGUAAUACGGAGGAUGCGAGCGUUAUCCGGAUUUAUUGGGUUUAAAGGGUGCGCAGGCGGUCUGUUAAGUCAGCGGUCAAAGCCCGGGGCUCAACCCCGGCCCGCCGUUGAAACUGGCAGUCUCGAGUUGGAGAGAAGUAUGCGGAAUGCGCGGUGUAGCGGUGAAAUGCAUAGAUAUCGCGCAGAACUCCGAUUGCGAAGGCAGCAUGCCGGCUCCACACUGACGCUGAGGCACGAAAGCGUGGGUAUCGAACAGGAUUAGAUACCCUGGUAGUCCACGCAGUAAACGAUGAAUGCUGGCUGUCCGGGGGGACUGACCCCUGGGUGGCGAAGCGAAAGCGAUAAGCAUUCCACCUGGGGAGUACGCCGGCAACGGUGAAACUCAAAGGAAUUGACGGGGGCCCGCACAAGCGGAGGAACAUGUGGUUUAAUUCGAUGAUACGCGAGGAACCUUACCCGGGCUCAAACGGGGAGUGGCGCAGGCAGAGACGCCUGUUUCCCACGGGACACUCCCCGAGGUGCUGCAUGGUUGUCGUCAGCUCGUGCCGUGAGGUGUCGGCUUAAGUGCCAUAACGAGCGCAACCCCCGCGUGCAGUUGCUAACAGUCAACGCUGAGGACUCUGCACGGACUGCCGGCGCAAGCCGCGAGGAAGGCGGGGAUGACGUCAAAUCAGCACGGCCCUUACGUCCGGGGCGACACACGUGUUACAAUGGGUGGUACAGCGGGAAGCCAGGCGGCGACGCCGAGCGGAACCCGAAAUCCACUCUCAGUUCGGAUCGGAGUCUGCAACCCGACUCCGUGAAGCUGGAUUCGCUAGUAAUCGCGCAUCAGCCAUGGCGCGGUGAAUACGUUCCCGGGCCUUGUACACACCGCCCGUCAAG
This 1404-nucleotide ribosomal RNA is filed under the name uncultured bacterium. Its description in RNAcentral is "bacterial SSU rRNA". It matches the Rfam family "Bacterial small subunit ribosomal RNA". The record is from RNAcentral.